Molecule: long non-coding RNA, 359 nt
Organism: Capsicum annuum
Lineage: Eukaryota; Viridiplantae; Streptophyta; Magnoliopsida; Solanales; Solanaceae
Exons: 3
Source: RefSeq, a predicted model, not a curated record
CAACUUCAUCAGCAUCAGCAACCUCAAAAACCCAAAUUCGCACCAGCUUCAACGCCCAAACCCGAUACCAGUAAUGCACUUCAACCCGUCUGUUUCUUCUUCAUCACGCACCUCAUGCGGAUUCAUACAAAGAGGACUCGAGAAUAUUCUAUAACGUGCCAAGGUGGCUCAUCCAACGUCCAACUCCGUGAAUCUUGGGAUAGAGAUCAUUGUACAAGUUCUCACCAUUGACAUAUGCAUAGUGCGGAGUUGCCAUAGAUUGAGAUGUGGGGUGAGCUCCUGACAUCCAGAGUUGUUCCUGCUCUUCCUCUUUUGCUGGACAGGGGCCUUGGAGUAACUGGUAAAGUUGUUGUCAUGUG